RNAcentral lists this long non-coding RNA (1249 nucleotides) under Homo sapiens (human). RNAcentral's name for it is "non-protein coding lnc-NCOA1-4:4". The record is from RNAcentral. Lineage: Eukaryota; Metazoa; Chordata; Mammalia; Primates; Hominidae.
AUUGAACCCUGAAGGUCUGCUCCGAGUCGGUCGGGUCCGAAGCGCUCCUCUCUGCCCUCGGGGAGGCCCCGAAGCCCCAGACCUGGCAGCCCUUCCUGGAGUUGCACAGACCCACCUGGCUCCUCCUCCCCGAGGUACAAGUCCUAAAGAAACCCUCAAACAUGUGCAUCAGGGGACAUGGACCAAUCCAAUCAAAGCUGUACAAUUUAUGAUAGCAUCACAUUAGAAGCAGCACAAAUGCCCAGCAGCAAUGGAAUGGAUAGAUUGCCGCAUAUCUAUAGAAUGGAAUACUAUACAACAGUGAAAAUAAAGCAGUUACGACAACGUGGAUGAAUCUCAGAAAGAUAAUUUUGAAUUUUCUGAAUGAAAAAAAUGCAAGGCACACAAUGCAUGGAAUAUGAUUCCAUUAAAUUAAAACCCAAAAGCAUGCAUCUAAAUGAUGUAAAGGAUACAAAUUAGAACCAGCCAGAGGAAGAGAAUGCGUAUGUGGAAGUCUGGCAGGAAUCCAAAUGCAGAGCUGCUGUCAUCCCCAUGCUGUGUUCCCCUCCCAUCAACAAAGGGGACGAUACUGAGAAGGAAACUCACCCAGCUCUUAUGUCCAGAAUUUUUAUUAGGGCUUCGUACAAUAGGCACAAUUGAUUGAAUUAUUGUCCACGUGGCUGAACCCAACUGCCAGUCUCCCUCCCCUGCCUGGAAGUCAGGGUGAAGUGACGUGGCCCAAAACCCCAGUCUUUUUUUUUUUUAACUUUUAACUAAAAAGUAAACUUGAAUGUCGAAAAUGCAAACUUGGGGAAGACAGAAAAGAUCACACGCAAGGCUGUCACUUCGCACUUGGAAGGUUGCACAGUGGCCGGGCAGAGGCGCUCCUCACUUCCCAGACGGGGUGGCGGCCGAGGAGAGACGCUCCUCACUUCCCAGACGAGAAAGCCCCAGUCUUCUAAUCACUUGGUCUUCUCUCGUGGCCAGCCCCACCUUGAAUCAUCUUGUUAACAUAAACUAUCUUGUAACGGCCUUGUUACUGAUAACUAUCAGGUGUGGUCCAAGGUGCUUGUCAUGAAUAACAAAAACAUUCCCACACCUGGAAAAAAAAAAAAUCUCAAAGAGUUGGCCAGGUGCAGUGGCUCAUGCCGGUAAUCCCAGCACUUUGGGAGGCCGAGGCGGGCAGAUCGCUUGAGUCCAAGAGUUUGAGACUAGCCCAGGUGACACAGCGAAACCCUGUCUGUACAAAAAAAUACCAACAUUAGCUGAG